GAUGAACGCUGGCGGCGUGCCUAAUACAUGCAAGUCGAGCGAACAGACGAGGAGCUUGCUCCUCUGACGUUAGCGGCGGACGGGUGAGUAACACGUGGAUAACCUACCUAUAAUACUGGGAUAACUUCGGGAAACCGGAGCUAAUACCGGAUAAUAUAUUGAACCGCAUGGUUCAAUAGUGAAAGACGGUUUUGCUGUCACUUAUAGAUGGAUCCGCGCCGCAUUAGCUAGUUGGUAAGGUAACGGCUUACUAAGGCAACGAUGCGUAGCCGAGCUGAGAGGGUGAUCGGCCACCCUGGAACUGAGCCACGGACCAGAGUACUACGGGAGGCAGCAGUAGGGAAUCGUACGCAACGGUCGAAAGCCUGACGGAGCAACGCCGAGUGAGUGAUGAAGGCCUUCGGAUCGUAAAAAUCUGUUAUUAGGGAAGAACCAAUGUGUAAGUAACCAUGCACGUCUUGACGGUACCUAAUAAGAAAGCAACGGCUAACUACGUG
Molecule: ribosomal RNA, 497 nt
Filed under: uncultured bacterium
Lineage: Bacteria
Description: partial 16S ribosomal RNA
Rfam family: Bacterial small subunit ribosomal RNA
Source: RNAcentral